UGGGGAAUAUUGCACAAUGGGGGAAACCCUGAUGCAGCUACGCCGCGUGAACGAAGAAGGUAUUCGUAUCGUAAAGUUCUGUCCUAUGGGAAGAUAAUGACAGUACCAUAGAAGAAAGCUCCUGCUAAAUACGUGCCAGCAGCCGCGGUAAUACGUAUGGAGCGAGCGUUUUCCGGAAUUAUUUGGCGUAAAGGGUACGCAGGCGGUUUAAUAAGUCGAAUGUUAAAGAUCGGGGCUCAACCCCGCAAAGCAUUGGAAACUGAUAAACUUGAGUAGUGGAGAGGAAAGUGGAAUUCCUAGUGUAGUGGUGAAAUACGUAGAUAUUAGGAGGAAUACCAGUAGCGAAGGCGACUUUCUGGACACAAACUGACGCUGAGGUACGAAAGCGUGGGGAGCAAACAGG
RNAcentral lists this ribosomal RNA (403 nucleotides) under bacterium. RNAcentral describes it as "partial 16S ribosomal RNA". It matches the Rfam family "Bacterial small subunit ribosomal RNA", at positions 355 to 776 of the family's 1533-position model. The record is from RNAcentral.